ACUCCAUCCUGCACCAAAGGAAAGUGGAAAGCCCUGGGAGGGGGUCAGAAUUUUCUAGCUUCUCAGGUCAAGAAGCAUUAGAAAAAUCUGGUACCUGAAAGGAUAUUUAUCAUCAGGAAUAUUGGAAAAGACAGAAAAAGCCACCUCUACUUCAUGUGUCUUAAAACUGUGUGCUACCAAGAUGUACUCUUGGAAGAAGGAGAGACAGAAAAAAAUCCAUGGCUUACCAUUUAAGAGAGCUGUCUGCUCUUCCUGAAGGACUCAAGUUCCAUUCCCAGCACCAUAUAGUAUCUCACAACCAUCUAUAACUCCAGUUCUAAGGGACCCAAUGCCCUUUUCUGGCCUCUGCAGGUACCAGACAUGCACAUGUCGCACAAUAUGCAGACACACACAUAAUAAAGUUAAAAUAAAAAUAAAAAAAAAAAAAAA
RNAcentral lists this long non-coding RNA (429 nucleotides) under Mus musculus (house mouse). Its description in RNAcentral is "FERM and PDZ domain containing 1, opposite strand (Frmpd1os)". The record is from RNAcentral. Lineage: Eukaryota; Metazoa; Chordata; Mammalia; Rodentia; Muridae.